Molecule: ribosomal RNA, 497 nt
Filed under: uncultured bacterium
Lineage: Bacteria
Description: partial 16S ribosomal RNA
Rfam family: Bacterial small subunit ribosomal RNA
Source: RNAcentral
GAUGAACGCUGGCGGCGUGCCUAAUACAUGCAAGUCGAGCGAACAGACGAGGAUCUUGCUCCUCUGACGUUAGCGGCGGACGGGUGAGUAACACGUGGAUAACCUACCUAUAAGACUGGGAUAACUUCGGGAAACCGGAGCUAAUACCGGAUAAUAUAUUGAACCGCAUGGUUCAAUAGUGAAAUACGGUUUUGCUGUCACUUAUAGAUGGAUCCGCGCCGCAUUAGCUAGUUGGUAAGGUAACGGCUUACCAAGGCAACGAUGCGUAGCCGACCUGAGAGGGGGGUCGGCCACACUGGAACUGAGACACGGUCCAGACUCCUAAGGGAGGCAGCAGUAGGGAAUCUUCCGCAAUGGGCGAAAGCCUGACGGAGCAACGCCGCGUGAGUGAUGAAGGUCUUCGGAUCGUAAAACUCGGUUAUUAGGGAAGAACAAAUGUGUAAGUAACUAUGCACGUCUUGACGGUACCUAAUCAGAAAGCCACGGCUAACUACGUG